Molecule: long non-coding RNA, 2620 nt
Organism: Stegostoma tigrinum
Lineage: Eukaryota; Metazoa; Chordata; Chondrichthyes; Orectolobiformes; Stegostomatidae
Exons: 5
Source: RefSeq, a predicted model, not a curated record
GCUGCAACUUGAGCUGGUCACCUUGAACUUUUGCGAGCUAUCAGAUAGCGAGUGGGGACCAACUCCGACUGGUGAAUCCCCUGAAAUAAUGUAGCCUCACUCUCCUCGAAAUGGAGAGGGGAACGUAAAGUCUGCGAAGUAGGAGGACAUCUGGGAUGUCUGGGAGUGGAACACUUCAUCCCCGGAACAGAUGCAGCGGAGGCGGAAGAAUCAAUUGGCAGCAGAUGGAGAAGCUAACCAACAUGUGGAGUCACGGUGAACUAUUAAGUUCUUCCUAGUUGGUAGAAUAUCAGAAAAUUCAGGCUUCAAAAUGAGCAGCUUUACUAUUUGAUGAACAUGAAAUAAGUGGUGCCUCAGUACUUACCCAGGUAAGAAAUCAAGAUGCCGUGCAUGCUGGAAAUCUGAAAUAAGAACCUUGGGAACACCUGGAAAAACUCAGCUCACGUAUCAUCUAUGGAGGAAUGAUCUUUUACCUUGUCAUGAGUUAUGAGUCCCAUGACUUUUGUGGAUGUUCUUAAGAAGCAAGGUUAAAGCAUGAACUUGUAUUUAGUUCUGACGCUGGGAUUCAAGGCGUGUUGAUAAAAUCUCAGCCAAUCUAUUUCCUGCUCCAGACAUGUUACCUGAGUAUCUUAAGUGAUUUAUUUAUUAAUAUACGUAUUUUCUGUUUCUGUAAAGGCAAGCUUGGAUCUUGUUUUUCCUGAUGUCUGCACAUGAAAUUACUUAUUUAUUUCACUGAAGAGCUCUUAGGAGUGAGGGCAUAGCUGAAUUUAUGUUAUCUUUCAGUUGCUGAUGAAAUUUGUUUGUGCUGUUGCUUUGUCUGACACGGCUGUCUGGUUAAGGACGUGUUCCGGUGUGGUGACAGGAGACACAGUAAGAUGUAUUAACUGAAGGCAGUAGUUGAGUUUACUUUUUUGAGUUUGAGAAACCCAAAGGAACAGAUUUCCCUCAGGAUCUGAUGAUUUUUAAAAUUUAUGUUUGUUUCUUGCAUUAAAAUGUUAACUGGCUGUUGUUAACUAGGGCUUCAACACUAGGUUGCUACUGGGGAGCAGAAAACGCGAAGGUAUACUCUGAGGCCUGUGGAAUGAAGUUGGUAUGGGAAGAUCUGAAAGGGUUGGGUGCAAAGGAGAUGGGAAGCCUUGAGGGUAAGCAGAUCAGAAAGGUCUGGGGGAAGGGUUACAUAGAGUUUGAAACAGUCAUGGGAGACUUGAGAAUGGGUCAUGGUGGAGAUUGAAAGCAUGUAAGGUUCAUCGAAAGGGAGGGGUUAGUUGGAGAACACAAUGGUUAGAUUUGGGGAUUGAAAGGCCUCCAGGUGCUAAGGGGGAAUUAGAGGCCUUUGGCAGGAGAUCUGAAAUGCCUCUGAAGGUGAGAUUAAAAGGGUUGAGGUGAUGGGUCAAGUAAAGCAUGUGAACUAGUCCCAUUUAGAAAGCCAUUUACCUUUUGGAAAAAUGGUCCUCAGUUCCCAAAAUAUUAAGAGUGUUGCUCUUCACUGUUUGAGUUCUGAUGCAGUAAUGCGAUGCUGAAUAGUCGUCAGAAACUAUCAGUCUUCAACAUAGCAAAGUUGCAAGACUCCAUUUUUGUCCAGUCACAUACCCAACAUUUGAAGGGUAGUGUAUGUAAGUCUUAAUAAGAUAUUUUCAGUGCUUUAGCAAUGCACUGGAUUUCUCCUUGGCAGAGAUUCAAGACACCAUGAAGGUUAGUUUAACUAACAUGAAGGUUGGUUUACAAUCCUCUCAUGUUAUUAUAUCAACUGCUUGAGGCACUGCAAUAUAAUCUGUGCAGUAUUCUUGUUUUGCUGACACACAGGUUGGAACAGAUUCAGCUGUGGCUGAUUUGGCUGACAUUUGAGACAGCCCGCUGCGUGCACUCCAAGAAGGAUUAACAGACAUUCAGGAUGUCAUCUACAGUAGCCUGACCCAAGUAGAUGACUGACUGCUUUGCAAAAUCCAUUUACACUCAUCUUGCACCGGAGGUGAAUCCUGGAGCAGCAGCAGGCACAGACAGCGCGUCCCGGAGCAGUGGGUGGGGAAACAGCCCUGGAACAGCACAAGGAAAGCAAGUCCCAGGUGGAGACCAGUGCUGGGAACGCAGUCCUGGAACUUACCUUGGAGCAGUUGAAUGCUGGUAUGGAGCGGACUGGAGGUUUGGAGCAGAGUGGGGACAGCUUCUGGACUGGGGUCUGACACGGGCAGUCAGACCACAUGCGGCGGCCCUGUGCUGAGCUGCUACAAUGUAAUGUUUAUAUGAUUUUUUACCAGUUUGUAAUGUCAAUCCUUCAACAAUGUCUUAUUUCUAACUUAUGUUGUAAACUUCAUGAAGUAAUGCAACUACUUUUUAUUGCUCAUUUGUAUCCAAGACUUGUACCUAGAUACUUGUACCCAAGCUGGCGCCAUAAGAGGCAGACAUUGCAAAAGCUUUUCACUAUACUUUUACAAUGGAGUACACGUGCCAAUAAAGAAUAAAAGGUAUUCUAUUCAUGUGCUUUGGCAGACACCCUUGAGACAUAGUUACUUCCUUAAUAUCAUUCACAACAGUUUGUUCUAGGGAAUAGCAUAUAUAGGUUUAUGAUAUGAAAAUGGUGCAUUUUUAAAAUUAAAUAUUUAUAACCUCAACUAAAUGAGAU